ACUGAGAACAAAUGGGAUAUUUUUUCCAUGAUGAGGGAAAAAACCCCAACCCUGAGAGAGAUUCAGUGAGGAUAGCGGGAGACGGAAAAGUUAGACCUCAGAGCACUUCUCUGCCAGCUCUUCUAUUCUUUUUUCAAGUCCCUUGUGGGCAAGGAUGUGGUCGUGGAACUAAAGAAUGACCUGAGAGUCUUGCCCUGUCGCCCAGGCUGGA
RNAcentral lists this non-coding RNA (211 nucleotides) under Pan troglodytes (chimpanzee). Lineage: Eukaryota; Metazoa; Chordata; Mammalia; Primates; Hominidae. RNAcentral also lists the same sequence under 1 other name. The record is from RNAcentral.